UACGAAGGGGGCUAGCGUUGUUCGGAUUUACUGGGCGUAAAGCGCGUGUAGGCGGGUCGUUAAGUUGGGGGUGAAAUCCCGAGGCUCAACCUCGGAACUGCCUUCAAAACUGGCGACCUGGAGCAAGAUAGAGGCAAGUGGAAUUGCGAGUGUAGAGGUGAAAUUCGUAGAUAUUCGCAGGAACACCAGUGGCGAAGGCGACUUGCUGGAUCUUUGCUGACGCUGAGACGCGAAAGCGUGGGGAGCAAACGGG
RNAcentral lists this ribosomal RNA (253 nucleotides) under uncultured bacterium. RNAcentral's name for it is "partial 16S ribosomal RNA". It matches the Rfam family "Bacterial small subunit ribosomal RNA", at positions 524 to 776 of the family's 1533-position model. The record is from RNAcentral.